This 171-nucleotide ribosomal RNA is filed under the name Tosarhombus brevis. RNAcentral's name for it is "partial 12S rRNA". The record is from RNAcentral. Lineage: Eukaryota; Metazoa; Chordata; Actinopteri; Pleuronectiformes; Bothidae.
CACCGCGGUUAUACGAGAGGCUCAAGUUGAUAGACAACGGCGUAAGGGGUGGUUAGGGAAAUACUUAAACUACAGCCGAAAACCUUCAAGGCCGUUACACGCACCCUCGAAGGUGGGAAGACCAACUACGAAAGUGGCUCUAUUACACCUGACCCCACGAAAGCUGAGAAA